This 362-nucleotide RNase P RNA is filed under the name Candidatus Chaera renei. RNAcentral's name for it is "Bacterial RNase P class A". It matches the Rfam family "Bacterial RNase P class A". From Rfam's summary of the family: Ribonuclease P (RNase P) is a ubiquitous endoribonuclease, found in archaea, bacteria and eukarya as well as chloroplasts and mitochondria. Its best characterised activity is the generation of mature 5'-ends of tRNAs by cleaving the 5'-leader elements of precursor-tRNAs. Lineage: Bacteria; Candidatus Saccharimonadota; Candidatus Saccharimonadia; Saccharimonadales (SeqCode); Saccharimonadaceae (SeqCode). The record is from Rfam by way of RNAcentral.
CCAGACUAUCAGAUAGUCGCUUCAUGUUUCAUGGAGAGGAAAGUCCGGGCAGCACAGGACAAGACAGUUGCUAACGGCAACCGGGAGUGAUCCCAGGGAAAGUGCCACAGAAACAAUACCGCCCCGUACUCCCAAAAGAGAUGGGGCAAGGGUGAAAAGAGUGGGGUAAGAGCCCACAGCGGCGUACGGUGACGUGCGAAGAUGGUAAACCCUGUCUGCUGCAAGGCGGCUUGCUGCCGCUUUUUGUGAGCGGUGACGGUCCGUCAGGCAAGCCAAAAAGACCGCUAGAUCGUGCGGGUAACCGCGCGACGAGAUAGAUGACUAUCCAACGACAGAACCCGGCUUACAGGUAGUCUGGCAAA